AAUCAAGUGCCUUAAGGGUGUUCGACGGAUGCCUUGGCGCUGAGAGGCGAUGAAGGACGUGCUACGCUGCGAUAAGCCAUGGGGAGCUGCGAAGAAGCUUUGAUCCGUGGAUUUCCGAAUGGGGAAACCCGCCUUCGAUAGCCGGAACUCCAAGGCCUUGCGUUUCGAAAGAGACGUGAGGGUUUGGAUUUCCGGUUAUCAAGAGAAGGUAUGAGAUCUCUGAAUACAUAGGAGGUUUCAAGCGAACCCAGGGAACUGAAACAUCUAAGUACCUGGAGGAAAGGACAUCAACCGAGACUCCGCUAGUAGUGGCGAGCGAACGCGGACCAGGCCAGUCAUCAUUGGAAGACAAUUGGAAUCUGUCAGGAAAGCAGAGCCUUAGAGGGUGAUAGCCCCGUACAAGUAAUUCAACCAUUGAUGCUCGAGUACGGCGGAA
This 436-nucleotide ribosomal RNA is filed under the name Rhodopseudomonas palustris. Its description in RNAcentral is "bacterial LSU rRNA". It matches the Rfam family "Bacterial large subunit ribosomal RNA", at positions 1 to 422 of the family's 2925-position model. The record is from RNAcentral. Lineage: Bacteria; Pseudomonadati; Pseudomonadota; Alphaproteobacteria; Hyphomicrobiales; Nitrobacteraceae.